This 161-nucleotide ribosomal RNA is filed under the name uncultured bacterium. RNAcentral describes it as "partial 16S ribosomal RNA". It matches the Rfam family "Bacterial small subunit ribosomal RNA", at positions 355 to 507 of the family's 1533-position model. The record is from RNAcentral.
UAGGGAAUCUUCGGCAAUGGGGGGAACCCUGACCGAGCAACGCCGCGUGAGUGAAGAAGGUUUUCGGAUCGUAAAGCUCUGUUGUAAGAGAAGAACUGUGAGAAGAGUGGAAAGUUUCUCACUUGACGGUAUCUUACCAGAAAGGGACGGCUAACUACGUG